GGAGGCGACCGAGCGCCUGGUGGGCUCCACGGUCUUCAAAACCGUUGAGGCGGUGAAAGCCGCCUGGCGGGUUCGAUUCCCGUCCGCCUCCG
RNAcentral lists this transfer RNA (92 nucleotides) under Acidimicrobiia bacterium. Its description in RNAcentral is "tRNA-Sec". It matches the Rfam family "Selenocysteine transfer RNA". RNAcentral also lists the same sequence under 2 other names. The record is from RNAcentral. Lineage: Bacteria; Bacillati; Actinomycetota; Acidimicrobiia.